AUGCUAGUUCUGGAUGCGGGCAGCAAGUUGGUGGCGGUGGCCCGGAGAAGGCACAGGGUGGCAUGCGCCGGCGACGGGAGGCAUCUCCCACUAGGUCUGUGCACUCAACUGACAGGGUCAACCCAGAGGCGCCCGGAUGGACAAAGAGACGCGCGAUCUACUGGGAUUAUUCCAUUGAAGAGGGGCACAACAGAGGAUGGUGCAGAAUGGGGUGGAUGUGGAUCAAUUGACGAGGAUCAAAGUGCGCGCACACUUGGUGCGGCGGCCCUGGAUUUAGUUGACCAAGACAUAAAUCAUCCGGGACUUUUCGAAGGGGGUUUCGAUCAAGCAAGGAGUCUGCUCUCGAGGCUGCGUGAAGGAGAUGUCGGAUGUAAAACAUAG
RNAcentral lists this ribosomal RNA (381 nucleotides) under Triticum aestivum (bread wheat). Its description in RNAcentral is "partial small subunit ribosomal RNA". Lineage: Eukaryota; Viridiplantae; Streptophyta; Magnoliopsida; Poales; Poaceae. The record is from RNAcentral.